RNAcentral lists this ribosomal RNA (339 nucleotides) under Vairimorpha lymantriae. The stretch from base 22 to 304 matches the Rfam family "Eukaryotic large subunit ribosomal RNA", at positions 24 to 358 of the family's 3401-position model. Lineage: Eukaryota; Fungi; Microsporidia; Nosematidae. The record is from RNAcentral.
AAUAUAUUUAUAUAUUGAUAUCCCUUUGACUUAAGCAUAUCAUUAAAAGGAGGAAAAGAAACUAACUAGGAUUUCUUUAGUAGCGGCGAGUGAACAAGAAUCAACCCUUGAUUGUAAUCCUUAAAUGGAGAUGUAAAUCNUUUAUUCUAUUAUUUAUAUCAUAGAGAAUUUUAAAUUCGUUACUUGAUAGAAUAGAAUNAUUUCUUUGAGUAGGGCNNCUUGGUAGUGCAGUUUGAAUACAGGUAGAAUGAGAUAUCUAAGGUUAAAUAUAAUGGUAUACCGAUAGCAAAUAAGUACUGCGAAGGAAUUUGUGAAAAUGUGUNNNUGUUAGCCUUAUUU